GUAGUUACCUGGCAGGAGGAAUUCCGCGAUCACGAAGAUAGUUUCUUUUUUUCAGGGCGAGGCCUAGCCGUUGCGCUCAGGUUAUGCUGAUCGCUGCGGUUUCCCUGUCAGUGAGGAACCGGACUGCAUGAUUUGGGGUAGCGGGGGACUGCGUUCGCGCUGUUCCCUG
Molecule: small nuclear RNA, 169 nt
Organism: Manis pentadactyla (Chinese pangolin)
Lineage: Eukaryota; Metazoa; Chordata; Mammalia; Pholidota; Manidae
Product: U1 spliceosomal RNA
Exons: 1
Source: RefSeq, a predicted model, not a curated record